UACGUAGGGUGCGAGCGUUAAUCGGAAUUACUGGGCGUAAAGCGUGCGCAGGCGGUUUUGUAAGCCAGAUGUGAAAUCCCCGGGCUUAACCUGGGAAUGGCAUUUGGGACUGCAAGGCUCGAGUGCGGCAGAGGAGACUGGAAUUCCUGGUGUAGCAGUGAAAUGCGUAGAUAUUGGGAGGAACACCAGUGGCGAAGGCGGCUCACUGGACCGGAACUGACGCUGAGGCGCGAAAGCGUGGGGAGCAAACAGG
RNAcentral lists this ribosomal RNA (253 nucleotides) under uncultured bacterium. RNAcentral's name for it is "partial 16S ribosomal RNA". It matches the Rfam family "Bacterial small subunit ribosomal RNA", at positions 524 to 776 of the family's 1533-position model. The record is from RNAcentral.